RNAcentral lists this ribosomal RNA (745 nucleotides) under uncultured archaeon. RNAcentral's name for it is "bacterial SSU rRNA". It matches the Rfam family "Archaeal small subunit ribosomal RNA", at positions 70 to 814 of the family's 1478-position model. The record is from RNAcentral.
UCAGACCCGUGGCAAAUAGCUCAGUAGCACGUGGCCAAUCUACCCUCCGGAUCAGCACACCCUCGGGAAACUGAGGCCAAUUCUGUAUACGGCUCCCGACCUGGAAUGGUGGGAGCCCGAAACGCUCCGGCGCCGGAGGAUGAGGCUGCGGCCGAUUAGGUUGACGGUGGGGUAAUGGCCCACCGUGCCGAUAAUCGGUCUGGGUCAUGAGAGUGAGAACCCAGAGACGGAAUCUGAGACAAGAUUCCGGGCCCUACGGGGCGCAGCAGGCGCGAAACCUUUACACUGCACGCCAGUGCGAUAAGGGGACCCCAAGUGCGCAGGCAUAGUGCCUGCGCUUUUCUGGACUGUAGGGCGGUCCAGGAACAAGGGCUGGGCAAGACCGGUGCCAGCCGCCGCGGUAAUACCGGCAGCCCAAGUGAUGGCCGCUGUUAUUGGGCCUAAAGCGUCCGUAGCUGGCCGCACAAGUCCGUCGGGAAAUCCGCCCGCUCAACGGGCGGCCGUCCGGCGGAACCCGUGUGGCUUGGGACCGGGAGGCCUGAGGGGUACGAUCGGGGUAGGAGUGAAAUCCUGUAAUCCCGCUCGGACCGCCGAUGGGGAAACCACCUCAGGAGAACGGAUCCGACAGUGAGGGACGAAAGCCAGGGUCUCGAACCGGAUUAGAUACCCGGGUAGUCCUGGCCGUAAACGAUGCUUGUUAGGUGUGACUCCCACUACGAGUGGGUGUUGUGCCGUAGGGAAGCCG